This 204-nucleotide long non-coding RNA is filed under the name Vigna radiata. Its description in RNAcentral is "long non-coding RNA (VRAD_LNC000999)". Lineage: Eukaryota; Viridiplantae; Streptophyta; Magnoliopsida; Fabales; Fabaceae. The record is from RNAcentral.
AGUGGCGCCAAUGAAGGUGCUUGUGUGGUCUGCCAUGGAGUCGCAGUGGCCGGCGUUAGGAACUCUCUUCUGACCGAGGAACCCCUGGAAUUUUGGUGGGGCUUGGGCUGGACUAAUUGGACUUUAUGACCCAUUAUUAAUAACCCAUUAUUAUGCAGUUUGAAAUGUAUAAUAAUAAGACAGAGAAUUAAGAAUAAUACGCAU